ACUCCCAUUAAACACAUAUUGGAAGACGCGCUGUCGUGGGAUGAGUGCGACCUUAUUAUUGAGUGACCUCAUUGCAGUGAAUCAUCACUCGGUUUUCAUUUCAUUCGACGCGCCAUAUCCGAAUGGGUGUUU
Caenorhabditis elegans is the source of this 132-nucleotide non-coding RNA. The record is from Ensembl. Lineage: Eukaryota; Metazoa; Nematoda; Chromadorea; Rhabditida; Rhabditidae.